AGCUGUGGAGCAAUGGAGCAAUGACAAAUUGUGCAUAAUGGUGACAAUUAACUAUACUUACCCCAAACCUGUUAACAUGGAUACCUAUCCCAAUUGUUGAAUUCCGUUAUUACACGUUCCACUGCUGUAUUUUUCUCUACUAAAUUCCAAAGGCUUGCGCCAGACGGUAAGAAGCAACAGUCAGCGGUCGCAAAAACCGCCGGAGCUGCUGGCAGGGCCUUCUGUGUAAAAGCAGUUGUGUUUAAUCGCUCAGAAAUUCCACUUUCUCGAGAAAUGCGUGGCUGGAUCGAAAUGGUUGACUUAAUUCCAAUGUUUGUUGUCUGACUGAUGACAAUAAUUACAGAGGGUUGGCGUUUCUCUCUUGUCUCACCAUUCAGAUCUGUUGAAGUGCAGAAAAAUAAAAUACAAUCCCGUCAAACAAAAAAAUACCCGCUGAAAGGUUGUAAACUUGUUUGUUUAUAGGAAAGGACUGAGAGUUAAAACUAAAGCAAAAAAGGAUAAAUUUGGACAGAACCGAUUUUGGAAAAGAUGCCUAUUUAUCCAUCAUUACUGCAGAUUAAAGAAGUACUGCAACUCAUCUGAAAGAAAAUAUCUUCGUCCUAUUUAGACAGUACUGCAGCUCCAGCUCUGCCGGGCGAAUGUAAGGGCUGAAGCUGUUUGAAGACUUUAGUCAACCAUAACUACUCCACCAUUCUCUUCCAAACAUGCUCUCUAAUUGUGCAGAUUAAAAUUAUCCCUUAAGGUGCCCCAAGAACCUAACGGGAAAUUUUCGGAACCUAGGAAAUCAAUGGAAACCUACAGAAUUAGCCUAUUGUUCCAAUCCAUUUAUUAGCAAAAAUUGUAUAACAGAAAAUAGUACAACCAUGUAUUUAUGUAUAUAUGUAUGUUAUCUACCAUUUUAUUCAUCCACGAGCCUCUUCCAAGCUAAGUUAUUUUCAAUACUAUUCGAGACCCACCCAAACUAUUACGAAAUAAUGAAUAAUGUUAAUAAUUCUGUCUAAUGGACAUGGGAAUUAAGUCUGUAGAGUUAGAUAUCUAUAAGGGUUGAUACUUACACCUGUUUUUGAACUUGAAAAUUUUCAAUUUGUGUUGGUCAAAAUUGCAGGUGCUGUAGUUCAGGUUUUUUAAAUAAUUAACUGCCAAAUUCUAAUAAUUUUUUAUAGUGGUUAUGAGAACGAAGUCUGUGGGUCUAGAUAUUUCUGGGGCUGAUACUUACCCUUGCUUUUGAACUUAAAAAAUUUCAAAUUCUGUUGGUCAAAAUUGCAGAUAUUAUAGCUCAUAGGCCUUUAAAGAUUUAACUGCCAAAUUUUAAUAAUUCCGUCUAAUGGGCAUGGGAACGAAAUCUGUGGAGUUAGAUAUCUGUGAAGCUGAUACUUAUCCCUGUUUUUGAACUUAAAAAUUUUCAAUUUCUGUUAGUCAAAAUUGCAGGUAUUGUAGCUUAUUGAAUAUUAAAGAUUUAACUGCCAGAUUCUAAUAAUUCUGUCUAAUGGGCAUCGGAACAAACUCUGUUGAGUUAGAUAUCUGUGGGGCUGAUACUUCCCCUGUUUUUGAACUUGAGAAUUUUCAAUUUCUCUUAGUUAAAAUAACAGAUAUUGUAGCUCAUAGCAUUUGAAAGAUUUAACUGCCAAAUUCUAAUAAUUCUGUCUAAUGGGCAUGGGAACGAAAUCUGUUGAGUUAGAUAUCUGUGGGGCUGAUACUUACCCCUGUUUUUGAACUUGAAAAUUUUCAAUUUCUCUUAGUUAAAAUUGCAGAUAUUGUAGCUCAUUGAAUUUUAAAGAUUUAACUGCCAGAUUCUAAUAAUUCUGUCUAAUGGGCGUGGGAACGAAAUCUAUUGAGUUAGAUCUGUGGGGCUCAUACUUACCCCUGUUUUCGAAAUUUUCGAUUUCUGUUAGUCAAAAUUGCAGGUUUGUAACUCAGGAUUUUAAAGAUUUAACUGCCAAAUUCUAAUAAAAGUUACAUGUGCAAUUUUGACGAACAAAAAUUUUCAAGUUCAGAAAUAGGGGUAAGUGUCACCUCCAGAAAUGUUAUAGAUUUUCUUCUAAUGUCCUUUGGACGAAAUUAUUAAAGUACGGUAUUUGAAUCUUUAGAAGCCUAUGAGCUUCAACACUUGCAAGCAUUUAAUUUUGUUCCAUUCGUAAUAGUAAUUAGUAUUAUUUUGUUAAUUUCGUAAUUAUAUUUAGUUUUACUUUGUUAAUUUUAUAAUUGUAAUUAGACUUAGCCACCUUGAAAUCCCGCCCUCAAUCCCAAUAUAAGCUUCUUAGACUCUUAAAUAUGUGGAUUUUCAUUGUCUAGCAAGCGCUAACAACCGCGCCAUCUAUUAUAAUUUUUUGUAACUAAAUAAUAUAUUAUUAUUAAUAAGUACAAAGAAAACUAUACUAAUGUAGUUUAUUGAUUUCUAAUAGUUCAACAAUAUCUUCAUAGAUAGUGCCACUAGUAGUAACCAAUAUACUAUAUUAGUAAAUUUUUUUACUUCUAAUUUGUUAGGUAAAUAAAAUGCAGGAAGACUAAUUAUUUAUUAUAAAUUCUGUGUACCGAUUUAUAUUUACACUUUUGAAUUGUACCUAUUAUAUGAAAAUAUAUGUGUUUUGUAUUUGA
This 2595-nucleotide long non-coding RNA is filed under the name Agrilus planipennis (emerald ash borer). RNAcentral describes it as "uncharacterized LOC108738476". Lineage: Eukaryota; Metazoa; Arthropoda; Insecta; Coleoptera; Buprestidae. The record is from RNAcentral.